Molecule: ribosomal RNA, 253 nt
Filed under: uncultured bacterium
Lineage: Bacteria
Description: partial 16S ribosomal RNA
Rfam family: Bacterial small subunit ribosomal RNA
Source: RNAcentral
GACAGAGGGGGCAAGCGUUGCUCGGAAUUAUUGGGCGUAAAGCGCACGUAGGCGGCUUGGCAAGUCGGAUGUGAAAUCCCUCGGCUCAACCAAGGAAGUGCAUCCGAAACUGCCGAGCUUGAGUACUUAAGAGGAUCGCGGAAUUCCCGGUGUAGAGGUGAAAUUCGUAGAUAUCGGGAGGAACACCAGUGGCGAAGGCGGCGAUCUGGGAAGAUACUGACGCUGAGGUGCGAAAGCGUGGGGAGCAAACAGG